This 429-nucleotide ribosomal RNA is filed under the name Chloroflexota bacterium. RNAcentral describes it as "Chloroflexi bacterium partial 16S ribosomal RNA". It matches the Rfam family "Bacterial small subunit ribosomal RNA", at positions 355 to 776 of the family's 1533-position model. Lineage: Bacteria; Bacillati; Chloroflexota. The record is from RNAcentral.
UGGGGAAUAUUGCACAAUGGGCGCAAGCCUGAUGCAGCCAUGCCGCGUGUAUGAAGAAGGCCUUCGGGUUGUAAAGUACUUUCAGCGGGGAGGAAGGGAGUAAAGUUAAUACCUUUGCUCAUUGACGUUACCCGCAGAAGAAGCACCGGCUAACUCCGUGCCAGCAGCCGCGGUAAUACGGAGGGUGCAAGCGUUAAUCGGAAUUACUGGGCGUAAAGCGCACGCAGGCGGUUUGUUAAGUCAGAUGUGAAAUCCCCGGGCUCAACCUGGGAACUGCAUCUGAUACUGGCAAGCUUGAGUCUCGUAGAGGGUGGUAGAAUUCCAGGUGUGGCGGUGAAAUGCGUAGAGAUCUGGAGGAAUACCUGUGGCGAAGGCGGCCCCCUGGACGAAGACUGACGCUCAGGUGCGAAAGCGUGGGGAGCAAACAGG